UAGGGAAUCUUCGGCAAUGGGGGCAACCCUGUCCGAGCAACGCCGCGUGAGUGAAGAAGGUUUUCGGAUCGUAAAGCUCUGUUGUAAGAGAAGAACGUGUGUGAGAGUGGAAAGUUCACACAGUGACGGUAACUUACCAGAAAGGGACGGCUAACUACGUGCCAGCAGCCGCGGUAAUACGUAGGUCCCGAGCGUUGUCCGGAUUUAUUGGGCGUAAAGCGAGCGCAGGCGGUUUAAUAAGUCUGAAGUUAAAGGCAGUGGCUUAACCAUUGUUCGCUUUGGAAACUGUUAAACUGGAGUGCAGAAGGGGAGAGUGGAAUUCCAGGGGUAGCGGUGAAAUGCGUAGAUAUAUGGAGGAACACCGGUGGCGAAAGCGGCUCUCUGGUCUGUAACUGACGCUGAGGCUCGAAAGCGUGGGGAGCAAACAGG
This 429-nucleotide ribosomal RNA is filed under the name bacterium. RNAcentral describes it as "partial 16S ribosomal RNA". It matches the Rfam family "Bacterial small subunit ribosomal RNA", at positions 355 to 776 of the family's 1533-position model. The record is from RNAcentral.